Molecule: ribosomal RNA, 774 nt
Filed under: uncultured Neocallimastigales
Lineage: Eukaryota; Fungi; Neocallimastigomycota; Neocallimastigomycetes; Neocallimastigales
Description: partial large subunit ribosomal RNA
Rfam family: Eukaryotic large subunit ribosomal RNA
Source: RNAcentral
GUACACGCUGUGACUAGCAUAUCAAUAAGCGGAGGAAAAGAAACUAACAAGGAUUCCCCUAGUAACGGCGAGUGAAGCGGGAAGAGCUCAAAUUUGAAAUCUUAAAGGGUUUCCCUUUACGAAUUGUAGUUUAAAGAAGUGUUUUCUGUUGAGGUUUUGGUAAAAGUUCUUUGGAAUAGGACAUCAUAGAGGGUGAGAAUCCCGUAUUUGACCUUUACUUUCAACUUUGUGAUACACUUUCAAAGAGUCGGAUUGUUUGGGAAUGCAGUCCAAAAUGGGUGGUAAAUUUCAUCUAAAGCUAAAUAUUGGCGAGAGACCGAUAGCGAACAAGUACCGUGAGGGAAAGAUGAAAAGAACUUUGAAAAGAGAGUUAGACAGUACGUGAAAUUGUCAAAAGGGAAGCGUUUGACACCAGUGUUGUUUUUCUGAAAAUCAAUUAAAGAACUGUUUAUGCUAAGUUGUUCAGACUUUAUCAGCUAACUGUUUAGUUUUGAGCUUUUCUUUAAUGCACUUUUCAGUUAACAAGUCAACAUCAAUUUCUUUUGCUGUAAAAAAGCUUGAGGAAGGUGGCUUGAGAUUCGUCUUAAGUGUUUAUAGCCUCUUGCCUAUGCAGUCGGAGAGAUUGAGGUCUGCAGCGUAGAUCCUUCGGGGCUAAAUGCAUUUGUGCUAAGUUAUAGCAUUUUAUAGACAACUUGUUGACUAUGAUUUGUCUUGUAGCUUACUCGCUUAUGUUAUUUUACCUACGCUUAGGAUGUUGACAGCAGUAUAGACUGU